RNAcentral lists this ribosomal RNA (1451 nucleotides) under uncultured Bordetella sp. RNAcentral's name for it is "partial 16S-23S ribosomal RNA intergenic spacer". It matches the Rfam family "Bacterial small subunit ribosomal RNA". Lineage: Bacteria; Pseudomonadati; Pseudomonadota; Betaproteobacteria; Burkholderiales; Alcaligenaceae. The record is from RNAcentral.
GAUUUGAUCAUGGCUCAGAUUGAACGCUGGCGGGAUGCUACAUGCAAGUCAGACGGCGGCACCCGGACUUCGGUCUGGUGGCGAGUGGCGAACAGGUGAGUAAUGUAUGGAACGUUGCCUAGUGGCGGGGGAUAACUACGCGAAAGCGUAGCUAAUACCGCAUACGCCCUUCAAGGGGAAAGCGGGGACCUUCGGGCCUCGCACUAUUAAAGUGGCCGAUAUCGGAUUAGCUAGUUGGUGGGGUAACGGCUCACCAAGGCGACGAUCCGUAGCUGGUUUGAAGGACGACCAGCCACACUGGGACUGAGACACGGCCCAGACUCCUGCGAGGCAGCAGUGGGGAAUUUUUUUGGACAAUGGGAAACCUGAUCCAGCCAUCCCGCGUGUGCGAUGAAGGCCUUCCGGGUUGUAAAAGCACUGGCAGGAAAGAAACGGCCUGGAUAAUACCCCGAUGCAGCGACGGCCACCUGCAGAAUAAGCACCGGCUAACCGUGCCAGCAGCCAUGACAAUACGUAGGGUGCAAGCGUUAAUCGGAAUUACUGGGCGUAAAAGCGUGCGCAGGCGGUUCGGAAAAGAAGAUGUGAAAUCGAGCUUAACUUUGGAACUGCAUUUUUAACUACCGAGCUGAAGUCUGUCGGAGGUGGAAUUCCGCGUGUAGCAGUGAAAUGCGUAGAUAUGCGGAGGAACACCGCCGAUGGCGAAGGCAACCUCCUGGAUAACACUGACGCUCAUGCAGCGUGAGGUAAACAGGAUUAAGAUACCCUGGUAGUCCACGCCUAAACGAUGUCAACUAGCUGUUGGGGCCUUCGGGCCUUGGUAGCGCAACUAACGCGUGAGAUUGACCGCCCGGGGAGUACGGUCGCAAGGUCGACUCAAAAUUGACGGGGACCCGCACAGCGGUGGAUGAUGUGGAUUAAUUCGAUGCAACGCGAAAAACCUUACCUACCCUUGACAUGUCUGGAAUCCCGAAGAGAUUUGGGAGUGCUGCAAAACCGGAACACAGGUGCUGCAUAGCUGUCGUCAGCUCGUGUCGUGGUGUUGGGUUAAGUCCCACCAACGAGCGCAACCCUUGUCAUUAGUUGCUACGAAAGGGCACUCUAAUGAGACUGCCGGUGAUAAACCGGAGGAAGGUGGGGAUGACGUCAAGUCCUCAUGGCCCAUAUGGGUAGGGCUUCACACACGUCAUACAAUGGUCAGGACAGAGGUCGCCAGCCCGCGAGGGGGCCAAUCCCGAAACCCGAUCGUGGUCAGCGGAUCGCAGUCUGCAGCUCGACUGCGUGAAGUCGGAAUCAACUAGUAAUCGCGGAUCAGCAUGUCGCGGUAGAUACGUUCCAGGUCUUGUACACACCGCCGUCACACCGUAAGGGUGGGUUUACCAAGUAGUCAUCACCAUCAGAGGCGAUUACCACGGUAGGAUUCAUGACUGGGGUUGAAGUCUGUAACAAGGUAA